Molecule: ribosomal RNA, 1485 nt
Filed under: Shigella sonnei
Lineage: Bacteria; Pseudomonadati; Pseudomonadota; Gammaproteobacteria; Enterobacterales; Enterobacteriaceae
Description: partial 23S ribosomal RNA
Rfam family: Bacterial large subunit ribosomal RNA
Source: RNAcentral
GAAGGCUAUGUUGGCCGGGCGACGGUUGUCCCGGUUUAAGCGUGUAGGCUGGUUUUCCAGGCAAAUCCGGAAAAUCAAGGCUGAGGCGUGAUGACGAGGCACUACGGUGCUGAAGCAACAAAUGCCCUGCUUCCAGGAAAAGCCUCUAAGCAUCAGGUAACAUCAAAUCGUACCCCAAACCGACACAGGUGGUCAGGUAGAGAAUACCAAGGCGCUUGAGAGAACUCGGGUGAAGGAACUAGGCAAAAUGGUGCCGUAACUUCGGGAGAAGGCACGCUGAUAUGUAGGUGAAGUCCCUUGCGGAUGGAGCUGAAAUCAGUCGAAGAUACCAGCUGGCUGCAACUGUUUAUUAAAAACACAGCACUGUGCAAACACGAAAGUGGACGUAUACGGUGUGACGCCUGCCCGGUGCCGGAAGGUUAAUUGAUGGGGUCAGCGCAAGCGAAGCUCUUGAUCGAAGCCCCGGUAAACGGCGGCCGUAACUAUAACGGUCCUAAGGUAGCGAAAUUCCUUGUCGGGUAAGUUCCGACCUGCACGAAUGGCGUAAUGAUGGCCAGGCUGUCUCCACCCGAGACUCAGUGAAAUUGAACUCGCUGUGAAGAUGCAGUGUACCCGCGGCAAGACGGAAAGACCCCGUGAACCUUUACUAUAGCUUGACACUGAACAUUGAGCCUUGAUGUGUAGGAUAGGUGGGAGGCUUUGAAGUGUGGACGCCAGUCUGCAUGGAGUCGACCUUGAAAUACCACCCUUUAAUGUUUGAUGUUCUAACGUGGACCCGUGAUCCGGGUUGCGGACAGUGUCUGGUGGGUAGUUUGACUGGGGCGGUCUCCUCCUAAAGAGUAACGGAGGAGCACGAAGGUUGGCUAAUCCUGGUCGGACAUCAGGAGGUUAGUGCAAUGGCAUAAGCCAGCUUGACUGCGAGCGUGACGGCGCGAGCAGGUGCGAAAGCAGGUCAUAGUGAUCCGGUGGUUCUGAAUGGAAGGGCCAUCGCUCAACGGAUAAAAGGUACUCCGGGGAUAACAGGCUGAUACCGCCCAAGAGUUCAUAUCGACGGCGGUGUUUGGCACCUCGAUGUCGGCUCAUCACAUCCUGGGGCUGAAGUAGGUCCCAAGGGUAUGGCUGUUCGCCAUUUAAAGUGGUACGCGAGCUGGGUUUAGAACGUCGUGAGACAGUUCGGUCCCUAUCUGCCGUGGGCGCUGGAGAACUGAGGGGGGCUGCUCCUAGUACGAGAGGACCGGAGUGGACGCAUCACUGGUGUUCGGGUUGUCAUGCCAAUGGCACUGCCCGGUAGCUAAAUGCGGAAGAGAUAAGUGCUGAAAGCAUCUAAGCACGAAACUUGCCCCGAGAUGAGUUCUCCCUGACCCUUUAAGGGUCCUGAAGGAACGUUGAAGACGACGACGUUGAUAGGCCGGGUGUGUAAGCGCAGCGAUGCGUUGAGCUAACCGGUACUAAUGAACCGUGAGGCUUAACCUUACAACGCCGAAG